GUGGGGAGGACGUCAAAUCAUCAUGCCCCUUAUGACCUGGGCUACACACGUGCUACAAUGGGAAGUACAACGAGUUGCGAAGUCGCGAGGCUAAGCUAAUCUUUUAAAGCUUCUCUCAGUUCGGAUUGUAGGCUGCAACUCGCCUACAUGAAGCCGGAAUCGCUAGUAUUCGCGGAUCAGCACGCCGCGGUGAAUACGUUCCCGGGCCUUGUACACACCGCCCGUCACACCACGAGAGUUUGUAACACCUGAAGUCGGUGAGGUAACCUU
RNAcentral lists this ribosomal RNA (270 nucleotides) under uncultured Enterococcus sp. Its description in RNAcentral is "partial 16S ribosomal RNA". It matches the Rfam family "Bacterial small subunit ribosomal RNA", at positions 1173 to 1442 of the family's 1533-position model. Lineage: Bacteria; Bacillati; Bacillota; Bacilli; Lactobacillales; Enterococcaceae. The record is from RNAcentral.